GUAUGUUCAUUAGUACAUUCUUCAUAUUUUUACAGUACGAAAGAGAAGCAGCACAGCCAGGCCACAUCCCACACUGCCAAGAGAUGCAGAUGCUGGCGAUGCAGGUUCUUCUUCAGCAAACCCCCCUCCACUAAGGCGCCCAUCACAGGGCUCGGAUCCUCAACAUAGGAGGCCAACCAAGAGACGCCGUCUUGAGGCUGAAUCACCAGCAGCAUCCUCACCACCCCAACGGCGCAUCUCCAUAGUGUCGGCCCUGCCACCACAAGCCAUUUUGGCAAGCCCAGAAAGCGAGGAUCCUCAAUCCCCUCAGCUGUCUGAACCACACAUCAUGGCCGA
This is a long non-coding RNA of Pseudophryne corroboree (corroboree frog), 336 nucleotides long. RefSeq lists it as uncharacterized. The record is from RefSeq and is a predicted model, not a curated record. The transcript has 3 exons. Lineage: Eukaryota; Metazoa; Chordata; Amphibia; Anura; Myobatrachidae.